Molecule: ribosomal RNA, 1346 nt
Filed under: uncultured bacterium
Lineage: Bacteria
Description: bacterial SSU rRNA
Rfam family: Bacterial small subunit ribosomal RNA
Source: RNAcentral
GACGAACGCUGUCGGCGUGCUUAACACAUGCAAGUCGAACGGAAAGGCCCUGCUUUUGUGGGGUGCUCGAGUGGCGAACGGGUGAGUAACACGUGAGUAACCUGCCCUUGACUUUGGGAUAACUUCAGGAAACUGGGGCUAAUACCGGAUAGGAGCUCCUGCUGCAUGGUGGGGGUUGGAAAGUUUCGGCGGUUGGGGAUGGACUCGCGGCUUAUCAGCUUGUUGGUGGGGUAGUGGCUUACCAAGGCUUUGACGGGUAGCCGGCCUGAGAGGGUGACCGGCCACAUUGGGACUGAGAUACGGCCCAGACUCCUACGGGAGGCAGCAGUGGGGAAUAUUGCACAAUGGGCGGAAGCCUGAUGCAGCAACGCCGCGUGCGGGAUGACGGCCUUCGGGUUGUAAACCGCUUUCGCCUGUGACGAAGCGUGAGUGACGGUAAUGGGUAAAGAAGCACCGGCUAACUACGUGCCAGCAGCCGCGGUGAUACGUAGGGUGCGAGCGUUGUCCGGAUUUAUUGGGCGUAAAGGGCUCGUAGGUGGUUGAUCGCGUCGGAAGUGUAAUCUUGGGGCUUAACCCUGAGCGUGCUUUCGAUACGGGUUGACUUGAGGAAGGUAGGGGAGAAUGGAAUUCCUGGUGGAGCGGUGGAAUGCGCAGAUAUCAGGAGGAACACCAGUGGCGAAGGCGGUUCUCUGGGCCUUUCCUGACGCUGAGGAGCGAAAGCGUGGGGAGCGAACAGGCUUAGAUACCCUGGUAGUCCACGCUGUAAACGGUGGGUACUAGGUGUGGGGUCCAUUCCACGGGUUCCGUGCCGUAGCUAACGCUUUAAGUACCCCGCCUGGGGAGUACGGCCGCAAGGCUAAAACUCAAAGAAAUUGACGGGGCCCCGCACAAGCGGCGGAGCAUGCGGAUUAAUUCGAUGCAACGCGUAGAACCUUACCUGGGUUUGACAUGGAUCGGGGGUGCUCAGAGAUGGGUGUGCCUCUUUUGGGGUCGGUUCACAGGUGGUGCAUGGCUGUCGUCAGCUCGUGUCGUGAGAUGUUGGGUUAAGUCCCGCAACGAGCGCAACCCUUGUUCACUGUUGCCAGCACGUUAUGGUGGGGACUCAGUGGAGACCGCCGGGGUCAACUCGGAGGAAGGUGGGGAUGACGUCAAGUCAUCAUGCCCCUUAUGUCCAGGGCUUCACGCAUGCUACAAUGGCUGGUACAGAGAGUGGCGAGCCUGUGAGGGUGAGCGAAUCUCGGAAAGCCGGUCUCAGUUCGGAUUGGGGUCUGCAACUCGACCUCAUGAAGUCGGAGUCGCUAGUAAUCGCAGAUCAGCAACGCUGCGGUGAAUACGUUCCCGGGGCU